GCUAAUACCGGAUAACAACAGAUGAUGCCUAUCAACUGUUUAAAAGAAUGGUUCUGCUAUCACUCUUGGAUGGACCUGCGGUGCAUUAGCUAGUUGGUAGGGUAACGGCCUACCAAGGCGAUGAUGCAUAGCCGAGUUGAGAGACCGAUCGGCCACAUUGGGACUGAGACACGGCCCAAACUCCUACGGGAGGCAGCAGUG
Molecule: ribosomal RNA, 201 nt
Filed under: uncultured Lactobacillus sp.
Lineage: Bacteria; Bacillati; Bacillota; Bacilli; Lactobacillales; Lactobacillaceae
Description: partial 16S ribosomal RNA
Rfam family: Bacterial small subunit ribosomal RNA
Source: RNAcentral